RNAcentral lists this small nucleolar RNA (107 nucleotides) under Cephalotus follicularis. RNAcentral describes it as "Plant small nucleolar RNA R71". It matches the Rfam family "Plant small nucleolar RNA R71". From Rfam's summary of the family: R71 is a member of the C/D box family of snoRNAs containing the C (UGAUGA) and D (CUGA) box motifs. Lineage: Eukaryota; Viridiplantae; Streptophyta; Magnoliopsida; Oxalidales; Cephalotaceae. The record is from Rfam by way of RNAcentral.
AAACCGUGAUGUGGGCACUCUAAUAGGAGGUCUUUGAAACGUUCCAUGAAUCGAUAAAAUGAUUCAUUGGGUCUUUGGCAAAACUAGAGAUUGUCGUUCCUAAGUUU